This 468-nucleotide ribosomal RNA is filed under the name uncultured bacterium. RNAcentral describes it as "partial 16S ribosomal RNA". It matches the Rfam family "Bacterial small subunit ribosomal RNA", at positions 28 to 507 of the family's 1533-position model. The record is from RNAcentral.
GACGAACGCUGGCGGCGUGCUUAACACAUGCAAGUCGAACGGAAAGGCCCUGCUUUUGUGGGGUGCUCGAGAGGCGAACGGGUGAGUAACACGUGAGUAACCUGCCCUUGACUUUGGGAUAACUUCAGGAAACUGGGGCUAAUAUCGGAUAGGAGCUCCUGCUUCAUGUUGUGGUUUGGAAAGUUUCGGCGGUUGGGGAUGGACUCGCGGCUUAUCAGCUUGUUGGUGGGGUAGUGGCUUACCAAGGCUUUGACGGGUAGCCGGCCUGAGAGGGUGACCGGCCACAUUGGGACUGGGGUGCGGGCCAGACUCCUACGGGAGGCAGCGGUGGGGAAUAGUGCGCGAUGGGCGGAAGGCUGAUGCAGCAACGCCGCGUGGUGGAUGACGGCCGUCGGGUUGUAAACCGCUUUCGCCUGUGACGAAGCGUGAGUGACGGUAAUGGGUAAAGAAGCACCGGCUAACUACGUG